CCGAGCAGCCGGAGUGUUAGCGGUACUCUUUACCAUCAAUCCGCUAUAGUUGGGGUGAUGCCCCGCCUCGGGCUUUGGAAUUGCAGAGCCGCCCUUUAUAAGUGGCGUUGAAGCUUGGGUCUUAAGCGACGGAAAUCUGCGAACUGGGUCAGGUUGGGAACAAAGCAGCCCUAAGUAGAACCUUCCGGGUGCCUUGAGGGUGCCUGGGCUGAGUUAACUGUAGAGGUAACGUCUGUGGUUACGGGUUCAAAGCGGGACGCUCGG
This 264-nucleotide signal recognition particle RNA is filed under the name Eubacterium oxidoreducens. RNAcentral describes it as "Bacterial large signal recognition particle RNA". It matches the Rfam family "Bacterial large signal recognition particle RNA". Rfam says of the family: The signal recognition particle (SRP) is a universally conserved ribonucleoprotein involved in the co-translational targeting of proteins to membranes. Archaeal SRP consists of a 7S RNA and homologues of the eukaryotic SRP19 and SRP54 proteins. Lineage: Bacteria; Bacillati; Bacillota; Clostridia; Eubacteriales; Eubacteriaceae. The record is from Rfam by way of RNAcentral.